AUUUGAGGCAGAUCAAUAUUUAAUACUGAACACUAACUUAUGUUCUUAUUUGUUUAGAAUCUCUGCUUUCAAGAGGAGAGUUGGCCCUGAGAUCCAUUUCAAAGGACUUGUGAACAUCCAGUCAAUAGAAAAAUACAUUCAGAAAACACUUACUGAACAUUUAUGAUGUGUCAGACACUGUGUUAGAAACUUGGGAGGCAAAGCUUCUACGUCUAAGAAGCUCAGAGUCAAGUUGGGGGCAGUUUCCUGUGGAACCUGGAAGGAUCAGGAUUCCUGAAAAUUUAAACCAGAACUCAGAUAUUCCAGUAAUUGCUCAUCAAGUGCCCACUAGUAGCUAAGCAUCUGCUACACAACAGCAUACAAAGUCUGGAAGGUCCAAAUUGGAUGUUUACUUGCAGUGAAUAUGUUUUUAAUGGUUUGUUAUAUUCAGAGGAUCAUAACUUCAAAGAUGGUCAUCAAUUAAUUCACAAAGAUAAUGUCAGAAGCAGGAUCCAAAGUGGAGCUUCUAGUGACCCCCAGGAGUGCUGAGUAAACACGCAAGGUACCUGCAGGACCCACUUGUGUCCAUUGAUCUCUCAGAGCAGCUGGGCAUCGUGGGUAAAGACCUUCACAAUCGGGAACCCGUAGAUUGGAUCUUCUGAAAACAUCAGAGAAAGACUAUCUUUGCCAUCCACACUACAGUAAAACUUUGGAGCCUUGAACCUUGGAUUUAUAAUCUCACAACUGAGAAGGGUCCCUCCAUACUCCUGGAACUGUACACCCAUUGGAACUCUUAAGGAUGAUAUACAUGGCCAGGUGAAGACAGUAGAGAGAAAACAGAACUGAAACGUUGGCAAGCUUGGGCUUGAAGUUUUUGGUGACACAAGACUGGCUUCUACUUCAGGAGACCAACUUCUUUUUCACAUAGCUCCAAUUUUCAGAGGAGGUAAGAAUCAGCAGAAAAGAAGGAAUCUUUGGAGAGCCAAAACCAUCUCUACACCAAAUUGAGAGACUGGAAUUAUAAGGUGAAUGCAAUUAACUGGCAGUCGCAUCCAUGUUGAGAACACAGUCAUCCCUUUAAUAGAGAACAUUUGCUGUGCUUGACAAACUCACAGUGAAAUGGUUGGAUCCAUAGGAAGCAACAUGCUGAAAAUGGUUUCAAUAUGAUCCUGUUUUUUCACUCAAUAGCCAUUGAUUGAGGGUGUCCAGCCAAAAACAAUGAGAAAAUGAGCCAACAAUAGUCUUACCCUUUGACCAUAUUAGAUAAAGUCGCAGCUGAAAUUUGUUAUAUGUUUCAGGAAUAACAAAGCAUCCAUAUGGAACAUAUAUUUGGCAGUGUGGCAGCUGAUGAAACCAGGAAAAUUAGACAAAUUAUCAAUUGCUCGCUCCCAAAUUACCCCAAAAAGAAAUUAGAUCCAUUUUCAGUAGCUUUGCCUUCAAAUUUCUUCAUUCCGUGAGUCACCACUACCUUCUGCCAAACUAAAUAUGUCUAUGAACGGCUGGAAACUUUAAUGGAAAGAAACAUAAAACUCAAACUACGUAGGAAAAUUUAAGCUUCUUCAUGGAAGAUCUUCGUGGAAGACUAGCAAGUUAGGAAUGUGUGAAGACAGACAACACAUCGAUAAUUCCUUUUGUUUGGGGUCACUUCUGAGUUAGAGAGCAAUGCAAC
RNAcentral lists this long non-coding RNA (1648 nucleotides) under Homo sapiens (human). Its description in RNAcentral is "HSALNT0194046". The record is from RNAcentral. Lineage: Eukaryota; Metazoa; Chordata; Mammalia; Primates; Hominidae.